CAAAUUAAGGCUUAAGUAGCAUUGUUAUUUACAUUAACAUGGUAGUUGUGCAAUUCAACUUAAUUUGA
Molecule: transfer RNA, 68 nt
Filed under: Peirates turpis
Lineage: Eukaryota; Metazoa; Arthropoda; Insecta; Hemiptera; Reduviidae
Also listed under: 2 other names
Description: tRNA-Val
Source: RNAcentral